Molecule: long non-coding RNA, 2673 nt
Organism: Cydia amplana
Lineage: Eukaryota; Metazoa; Arthropoda; Insecta; Lepidoptera; Tortricidae
Exons: 3
Source: RefSeq, a predicted model, not a curated record
GUCGUUGGAGCGACGCCAUUUUGCGCGCAGCGGGGCCACAUUGGCCUCGCCUAUAAAAGGCUGCGGUGACGUCAGCGCCCGACAUUUAAAAUCUCAUCGUGGUGCGCAGUGGACGUGAAAGUGUUGUGACAAGAUCUCCAAGUGAAUUUGCCUGGGUUGGAUUCAGUCCCAUUGCGUUUCGCGUGGGUCUGCAUCCAUCCGAUGGCCGCCAUCUUGGCUGUCGCUGGGGCGCGGUCGCUGCUUACACAACAAUGGGUUUGUAACGGUAUCGUGCAUUUAUUUUAGUUUAGUUAAUUUUGUGAUCCAAAUGUAAAAAGUUAAAUAUUUCAAUUUCAAUCUAUUUCUCGAUAGUAAAAUUGGAAUUUGGUUAUUAUUCAUAUUGAAUAAGAUAAAUUGUAACAUAUGUUUAAGUAUGAAAAAUAAAAAGAUUAUUUUCAAUGGAAAGUUGUAUUUCUCCUAUUUUGUUACUGUGAUUUCACCCGAAAUGUGUUAUUCCAUGAGUCAUCAUCGUCACUUCGCUUCGUGGAGAAAGUGGCGAGUGCGAACGAGAUCGAGCUCCAGACUCGGCCGAGCAGCCUGCGGUCUGCCGCCGAGCCGUCGCCGCCGCGGCGUUAAGGUUCCCUGCGUUCAGCCCACGGCUCCACUGUGCCAAACGGCGCGCGCUCAAAUACGUCCCGGUUAUCAGCCCACUAGGUAAACGUUAGGCCUCCGAAUUCCUCAUACGACUGGUGUAAUAAUAUCAUGUAUUCCAUAACAAAGUCUGCCCGUGCCCGCAUGCGGGCCCCCUGCGUGUAACGUUGUGUUUAGACCCCAGAGCGUUGCGGUUACCGUGCAGCUGCAGACCCAGUCGUGGCGGGUUGACGCAAUCGCAUUGUUCAUCGUGCGCACGGCCUCUUCGCGUCACGGUCACGUGAUGGCGCAACCCGGAACACUUGAACACUAGAAUUAUCUUCCCGUAAGGAAGUACCUAUGUUGACAAUGUCGGUGAGUCACUUGUUACUGAAAAUGGUCUAAUUUUGAAAUAUAAAAACAGACAUUUUGGUAUUUUAUUGAUAAUCAUAAUAAUGAACAUUUAGCGUGGGAGUGACAUUUCUCUUAAACAUAACUAGAAAUACUUAAAGUAAAUUUCCUUACGAUUUGGACAAGUCACUGCUAUUGCUAAGAAAUUAUUCCAAUGUUCACAUGUAAAAACAUACCUAAUUACUGAAUCGGUGAGUCAUCUCACUUAGGUCGUGUCUAUGAAAUAAUUUUUCUCCAAACAGGGUAUAACAUAUAUUAUUUAGGAACGUGCUAGAACGAUCGGGAGGCCUCGGAGGUGACUUGAGGGAGUUUUCGGAGACUGCCACCGCGACCAUGAAGUAUCAAGUAACUAUCCGUGACCUCUCCAAUCUUCGCGGCGCUUUCUAUAUUAGGUAAACCAGAGGUCACGAUAUUUGUGUGGAUGCAUGCAUAAAUAUCUUAACUGCAGCUAUAUCUACACUUCGAGUGAGCAGUCUCCAGUUUAGUACAUGAAAAUCUCACCUGCGCACUGCGAGCUGGAAAUAUUAAGUAAAUUGAGGAAACGUGGCGUGGGCUGAUCAUUUCCGGGACCAUUCUGAACCAUAAUGCGCGACAUAGGCUACACAAUGUUAAACGAUUGCAUACAAAUUAAGAAUAGGAAUAUGAAGCACGGACUUGUUAGAAUGCGGUAAGUUACUAUGAAAUCUCUGAACUCUUUCUAGGUUAAUCGUUGCAGUUACUUUCAUACAAAUUAAUUUUAGUUUCUAAUUUUAACCUAAAUAGUUACUUGUACUUACAGCAGACUUAAUCAAUUUGUAUGUUACCUUAUCUGCACUUUUAACCUGUUUUUGAUAAAUAUUUUUCAGCAUUUAUUGCGCGACACAAACCAUUUAGUUUAGAAACUCCAUAGCAAGUUCUGGUUUGCGUAUGCCGCUAAUAAACGCUUAUUUUCUAGAUCUGGUCCAGUAAUUUUCAUUGCUUAUUUAGGACUUGCGAGUAUUUGCCUCAGGCUAACCAGUAUAAGUGUGACUUCUAGAUCCGUAACAAUGAUGCGGAAUCAGAAAUCAGACUUGGCUUGUUUGCUGAGACGAAUGCGGGCUGGCACAGAAUAAGCGUUGAAAAUCAUAGCGCUGCUACUUUUCUAUGAUUUCAAAACAUUUUGACACGUCAAUAUGAAUGCAUGAACUGAUUUCCGUACCUACUUCACAGCUAUACACCGGGAACCGUGGCUGGUGAUCAAGGUUGUGCGUGACAAGAGUCAACCAACCAAACGUAAACAAAGCGAGGUGAAGCCCUUCUCCGCGAAGGCUAGCCCGGCCCCUAUAACAAGUGGACCGUCGGCCUCCACAGAUAAGUCAAUGCCGGUCUCUCUAUCCCAAAUCACUGUUAGAUAAUAAACCUACCAAAGGCUGAAACGCGUGAACAAGUAAGACCCAUAUGCUUCGGUAUCAUUCUAAAAUUGAUAAUGAUUGCUUGAUGUAAUCUUCUCUAAUGCUAAGAUCCUGUGUAGUUGCAUACUAUGCUAUAAUAUAAUAUCUAUUUGAGGAACUAUAAAAUACACUACAGAUUUUUCAUAUUAUACCUACAAAUUAUAAUAAUGGACACAUUAAGUAAUAAUAAAACGCCCAUCUAAUGUAGCUAUGAAACGGAAAACGAAUGUAUUGCAACAUAAUU